This is a long non-coding RNA of Mytilus californianus (California mussel), 890 nucleotides long. RefSeq lists it as uncharacterized. The transcript has 3 exons. The record is from RefSeq and is a predicted model, not a curated record. NCBI's taxonomy places the organism in Eukaryota, Metazoa, Mollusca, Bivalvia, Mytilida, Mytilidae.
GGAAAGACGUAUUAUGUUGCCAAUGGAAGAUGUAUUGUUGUUCCUCUAAAGAAAAGAUUGUUAAGAUGUGUUCCAUCUAACGCCAAACCGAUAUUGUCAACAUAUUCUGGUAUAGAGAAAGAUGUUUUUGGGGUUGACAUGUAUUACUUCAAAGAAGAUGGAGUACAGACAACUCUUACUGUGAUGAGAAGGGGGUGUGUCCCUAUAGCGGAACACCUUGAAUCAUGUAAUGCGGACACUGAUGUUAAUUAUUAUGGACUUAGUCUUGGUAUAAGGAAUGCCACACAAUUUGCCAUUCCUAAAGCAUGUAAGAAGGCAACCGAAAUGUCUAUAAUACCAGAAGAAAUGGACCAUCUGAAGUAUUUGAGGUUUUCAUCUAUCUUCUAGUAGAAACAACAAAUAAUGACUAAUUUUUGUUUUGAAUAUAUUAACUUUGAACUACAUAUCAAAAUAAUCAAUUGAUUAUACAGAUAGAUACUUUUGUUUCAAACCACUUACUUUAAAGGAGCAAGGUCGUGCUAAAUGAUUAUAAAUAUAUGAAAUACAUUAUAAUUGCAUUUUAUAGCAUUUUUAAUUCUUACAUUUGAAAGGAUGCUAACUUCAUGUGAUUGUUUGUCGAUUUGAUUAAAAAAUAUUAUUUUUAAAUAUAUUAAUUCAUUCAAUUUGAUUAACUGGAAGUUUAACAGGUCGAAUAAUAAUUCCUUAUGGUAAUAUUCUAGAAUAAAGAAUUUGUUUCAAAUAGAUAUGAUUAUAAACACAAAAAUUGCAAUUAGGCGUGGUACAUAAAUUUGACACAAGUCAAGUUCACCAAAAUAAGGAAUAAUGAUGGCACUAUCAUGUGACGAGGGAAAAAACGCUUAUAUGACACAAGCUCAAAAUAACUAGGUGGG